GUUACUUCUCAGCCUUUUGGCUAAGGUCAAGUAUAGUGUCUGUUUUUAGCAGUUUAAUAUCUAAUAUGUCCUCUAUCCAAGAACAAUACAGUAAAUGGAUUUUGGAACUAGGAGACUGGAAUCAGAGCUUGCUCCAUCCUCUCCAUCCUUUGACCUGGUAUUGCAGCUCUUCCAGGAAGGGUGUGCCCCCU
Molecule: small nuclear RNA, 191 nt
Organism: Mustela putorius furo (domestic ferret)
Lineage: Eukaryota; Metazoa; Chordata; Mammalia; Carnivora; Mustelidae
Gene: U2
Rfam family: U2 spliceosomal RNA
About the family: U2 is a small nuclear RNA (snRNA) component of the spliceosome (involved in pre-mRNA splicing). Complementary binding between U2 snRNA (in an area lying towards the 5' end but 3' to hairpin I) and the branchpoint sequence (BPS) of the intron results the bulging out of an unpaired adenosine, on the BPS, which initiates a nucleophilic attack at the intronic 5' splice site, thus starting the first of two transesterification reactions that mediate splicing.
Source: Ensembl